CAAGGAGGUUAUAUUAGAAGGAGAGUGAACACUCUGCUUGAUACAAAAUUAACAUCCCCAGGAUAGCAGUUCGAUCAGAGAAAAAUGAUAAAAAUAUAAAGAAACCGCCACUUGACAUGGCCCUCUGAUGUACCGGGCUGUUACCGCGAGCAGUUCGGGCUACUAGAUAAAUCGCAUAUGUCACGUGGUUGUUAUCAGUGAGUGGUUCGUUAAAGUUCAGGUGUAUUUUUGGUAACAAUGCAGUAUUUAGGUGCUUAUGAUAUGGAAAAAGAUUGGACGCGCAAUUUCAAAAUC
RNAcentral lists this long non-coding RNA (294 nucleotides) under Mytilus galloprovincialis (Mediterranean mussel). The record is from RNAcentral. Lineage: Eukaryota; Metazoa; Mollusca; Bivalvia; Mytilida; Mytilidae.